Pantherophis guttatus is the source of this 2953-nucleotide long non-coding RNA. RefSeq lists it as uncharacterized. The record is from RefSeq and is a predicted model, not a curated record. NCBI's taxonomy places the organism in Eukaryota, Metazoa, Chordata, Lepidosauria, Squamata, Colubridae.
CUGCACAACGUGAACCAUUCUCGGAAAGCCGCCAUCUUGCAAAGCGCGCGAGAACUUGCAGGUCAAGCAUCGCGAGAGGGAAGACCGCAAUGCGCCUGCGUUACGAUUCUCCCCCCCUCCCUCGCCCUUUCUCUCUCUCUCUCUCUCUCUCCCCCCCUCCUCUCCCAUGCGCCGUACUCCCAGCGGUACGCAAGCGCAGUUGUGCCUUCUGCGGUGCAGGAAACCCUGCAGCGCUCCCUGUUGGAAAGCGAAUGCGACGCAAGCGUUAUAGAGUACAUGGGCCAGAUAGGUCUAGGGAGCUUUAACGUUGGAUGAAGUUCAAAAUUCAACAUGGGUUCAGGAAAAGGUCAUUUGAGGUUUCUGCACUUCAAGCCAGCCAGGUUCAUGUUUUGAAUAUUGGGGAAGAGUUUCUUUAAUCACAAGAAAUUCCAGCUUCCUUUGAGUUUCAACUUUCCUGCAGUGAGCAUGGAUUCCUAAGGAAGGGUACCAUCCUGGGAAGGAACAAAAGCAGCAACAACAGCUCUGCUUGAAUAAAGCCAACAACAUGAAAACAUUCCUCUCCCAGGUUCCUGAAGAUUGUAGGCAGCCUAAGAGAAUUCUCACAACUAGAACCAAAGUGACAAGCUGUUUGAAGCCUAGAUCAUACUUUUUCAAUUGUUUUUUUUUUUCACCUUCAAGAGCCACAGAAGACAAGGUGGUAACAAGCUGAAGCCAUUAGAGGGCAGCACCCAAUUUUACCCUUUGCAUCAUUUAGGUUUUGAGAAGUUCUGUAAAACUGGCACUUUCCAACUGUCAGAGGCUUAAGAGCUCUACUCUAUUGGUAUUUUGGGGGUGAGGUGGGGAGUGACAAUUAUGUCUCUGCUAUUCAACUGUUUGCCCUCAUGAGAAAUUAGGAAGGUAUCAAAAAGAUACGGGAAUUCAUAGGGACUGAAAACUGAUUUCCUCUUAUGGUGAAGUUGGUGAGUGACUUUGUGGCUAGAACUAAACACCCCUUAACAGACUUACUAUUAGCUUACUUUCCCGACUAUCACAUAGGGUGAAUGAUAAUUUUUUUGGCUUAACAUUUUUAUUGAGUUAUAAGAUAAAAUAAGAUACAAAAUAUAAAAGAAAAUAGGAGAACAGUGGGGAGGAAGAGGGGGAAGAGAAGUGAGGAAGAGAAGUAGGGAAAAAAAUAGCAAGUAAUAGUAAGGUGAGCAAGGUUUGUGCAGUAAGAAGUGCACAUUAUUUUUGAGUAGCUAGUUGGAAAAACAUGUUCCUGCCUUGUACAAUUGAGUAGAAGAGAACUAGAGUCAUGGCAGCAGGCAACUUUUGAGGGAUGGCUCAUAAAAUAACAGCAUGCAUUGCAUUUUCUAUUGAAUCCCAAGACAUAAAACAGUAUAUACAAGUAGUCCUCGAUUUACAACCAUUUGCUUACUGACAGUUUGACGUUACAAUGGCACUGAAAAAAGUAACUUAUGACUGUCACAGCUUCUCCAUGGUCACGUGAUCAAAAUUCAGAUGCUUGGCAACUGGCAUGUAUUGACGAUGGCUGUCCUGUCCUGAGGUCAUGUAAUCAUUUUUUGUGAUCUUCUGACAAUCAAAAGUCAAUGGGGAAGCCAGAUGCAUUUAACUGACUUAAAAGCUCAAUGAUUAAUUUAACAACAGUGGCAAGAAAGGUUGCAAAAUGAGACUAAAUUCACUUAAGAAAUGCCUUGCUUAGCAAUGGAAAUUUUGUGCUCAAUUGUUGUUGUAAGUUGAGGACUACUUGUACCUAUAUACUAAGAUACAAUCUUUUAGUAGAUGGGGUACUAUGUUUGACUUAGUGUUAAAUAUUUCUGUUUAAAACAAAGCAACAUGACCCCUGAUAUACGGUAUUUAGUUUUGCUUCUAAAUCCUGGGGGAGGGUAUUAAAAUGGGGUAUUUCGACUCCAGGCAACCUCCUCUCCAAAAAGCAAGUCAAGAAUUUGGACAUAAUUCAUAGAAAGUGAAAUUUCACUAUCUUUGAAACAUGGAACAGCUGUUUAUCAUCAGGGUAGAUUUAUCUGGACUCCAUGUAUAAUCAGUUAGAUGCAAAUAAUCAUCAGAAAUAGUCCUGCAUUCCUUGAAAAUAACAUCCAUAUCCUCUUAUAUUCUUCAGAAAUUCCUUUUCCAUUUUGUUCUUCUUUGUCUCUUUCAGACCUUCAAUCUAAGAUAAGCCAAAAAUGUGCAGAAUUUGAGGACAUAAAUUACAAGCAGAUUACAUUAGCAAGUAUUAGCUAAGGAUUUAUCUCUUUCUUUCAUGCACAUCAAAGGCAUCAAAGGGAAGAGAAAUGUUGGGAGAUGGACUCAAAUGUGGCCAGCUUAAUUUGGCAAUUCUCUAUUCGCUGGGUUGGUGGUGCCCACAAACUUGGCAGUUUUAAAAAUGGAUUAGGUAAAUUCAUGGAGAAGACAAAGGCUGUAGGUGAUCUCCAGGACAGGAGUCAUGAUUUGCCUCGACAUUUGAGAAGACAUCUUUCUUCUUUUCUUCUUAAAAGAAAUCUUAAUUAUUUUGAUUCUGUAUCUUCAGAAUGACAUGCAAUUCUGAAUUCUGGAAAACCAAGUCUACCAGAUACCGCUAAUUGCUUCUCUUGUUAUGAGCUUUCAGAAGGACAUAAUUCAUCUCAGUUUUAACUUUUCCCUUUCAGCUCCUGCCCUAACUUCUUUUUGUUGGCACUGUUUCAUAGUUCCAUUGUUUCUUUUUCUGAGUCACUCAUUCCUUGCCCUCUGGUUGCUUUUAAUUCUGCCAUCCUUAAUUCUUCUUUCUCUUUUUCUUUCCCUUAUACACCACUUAGUGAAAGCUCAAUGGAUUUAUAAAUGGAUUUUCAUAUAUAAAUUAUCAUGGUGGAUCUCAACCAGGCCGAAAUUUGCAACAUCAUGGUAAAGCAUGUAGAUUUUCAUGGAAAUCAUUCUCAUUAUGGUUAAAGAAUGUUAUAUUUUGGAAUAAAUGUACACACUA